This 497-nucleotide ribosomal RNA is filed under the name uncultured bacterium. RNAcentral describes it as "partial 16S ribosomal RNA". It matches the Rfam family "Bacterial small subunit ribosomal RNA", at positions 28 to 507 of the family's 1533-position model. The record is from RNAcentral.
GAUGAACGCUGGCGGCGUGCCUAAUACAUGCAAGUCGAGCGAACAGACGAGGAGCUUGCUCCUCUGACGUUAGCGGCGGACGGGUGAGUAACACGUGGAUAACCUACCUAUAAGACUGGGAUAACUUCGGGAAACCGGAGCUAAUACCGGAUAAUAUAUUGAACCGCAUGGUUCAAUAGUGAAAGACGGUUUUGCUGUCACUUAUAGAUGGAUCCGCGCCGCAUUAGCUAGUUGGUAAGGUAACGGCUUACCAAGGCGACGAUGCGUAGCCGACCUGAGAGGGUGAUCGGCCACACUGGAACGUAGACACGGUCCAGACUCCUACGGGAGGCAGCAGUAGGGAAUCUUCCGCAAUGGGCGAAAGCCUGACGGAGCAACGCCGCGUGAGUGAUGAAGGUCUUCGGAUCGUAAAACUCUGUUAUUAGUGAAGAACAAAUGUGUAAGUAACUAUGCACGUCUUGACGGUACCUAAUCAGAAAGCCACGGCUAACUACGUG